UCAAAAGUUAUUUUGUAUCAAAUAACCAAAUGUUAGGGUUUUAGACGAAAAUUGCAGCCACUAUUCUUCAUUCUUGCUUCUUGAAUCUUGGCUUCUUCUUUUGUUGCAUAUCAAAGACAAAAUCAGUGAUCCUGCCAUCCAUUGCAGGAAUUUUAGUGAGUCAAGAUGAUCAAGAGAUUUUUCAAGUCGCAAACCUGUUCAGGUUCUACUUCUAGUUCUCAUUCGCUAAACUCUCAUUCAUGUCUAGUGGUAAAUGACAAUAUCAAUUCUUCGCAAUCAUCACACAAAGAUAUUAUGUUGGAUUUGAAUCUUCCUAACCCUGAUCCUAGUGAAAGAAAAUAAAUUUCAAAAUAUCCUCCUAAUCUACGCGACCGCGUGAAGACAUUAUAUUCAAAGGGAGCCUUGUCGGCCUCGUAAUUUUAUUUUUCCAAAAAAACAAAUUUUGGUGGAAAAUAGUGUCACUUUAAUCCGGAAUGGUUUAAAACUUCAUAUUCUGGAUGGUUAGAAUACAGUAUUAAAGAAGAUGCAGCGUUUUGCUUAUGUUGUUACUUGUUUAAAAAUGAGAUUGGAGGAUAUGGAAAAAAAAGUAAGUGAUUCUUUUACAAAAGAUGAUUUUAGGGCUUGGAAUAAAGGUAUAGAAAGGCUUAACGGACAUGCGGGUGAAGUGAAUAGUGUUCAUAAUCGGUGUUUCAAGAUGAUGCUAGAUUUAUUGAAUCAAUCACAAUCUAUUCUAAUAUCUUUUGACAAGCAAUCCAAGAAAACUAAAAGUGAGUAUCGGGUUCGCUUGAAUGCCUCAAUUGAUGUUGCAAGGUAUCUUUUAAAAGAAGGAAUGCAUUUUCGGGGUCACGAUGAGCGUGAAACUUCUACAAGAAGAGGCAACUUCUUAGAUCUCUUAAAGUGGUAUGCAGAUAAGAAGGAUGAUGUAAAGAAAGUUGUGUUAGAAAAUGCUCCCAAAAAUGAAAUCAUGAUUUGUCCAAGUAUACAAAAAGACAUUGUGUGUUCUUGUGCGAAAGAAAUAUUGAAAGCAAUUAUUGAAGACCUAAACGAGAUUAUUUUGGGAUAUUGGUUGAUGAGUCUAAGAAUAUCUCUCAUAAGGAACAAAUUGCGCUUGUUUUGCGUCAUGCCAACAAAAAGGGUAAAGUUAUUGAGCGAUUCCUUAGUAUUGUUCAUGUUAAAGAUACAUUCGCAAAGUCAUUAAAAGAAGCAAUAUGUUCUUUGCUUUUAGAACAUUCAUUGAGUAAAUCUCAAAUACGAGGAUAAGGUUAUGAUGAAGCUAGUAACAUGCAGGGAGAAAUUAAUGGUCUUAAAACCUUGAUUAUGAAUGAUACUCCUUCGGCAUAUUCCAUACAUUGUUUUGCUCAUCAACUGCAAUUGACUCUUGUUGCUGUUGCAAAAAAAAUUAUGAGACAGAAUAAUUUUUUGAUAUUCUUGCAAAUGUUUUAAAUAUUGUUGGGUAUUCUUUUAAGCGUAGGGAGAUGCUUCGAGAUGAUCAAGCAGAAAAAUUAGAGGAACUAUUAGUCCUCGGUAAAGUUCAUAUGGGAAGCGGUUUAAAUCAAGAACUUGGACUUCAAAGGGCAGGUGAUACUCAUUGGGGUUCUCAUUUUAAGACGGUGCGUAAUUUUAUUAGUUUAUUCUCAUCAAUUAUUCAUGUACUUGGAGUUCUUGCAAUCGAGGGUUCAAAUUAUCAUAAGAUAUCAAUGACAAAAAGUCUAGUGGAUGACAUAAGAUCUUAUGAGUUUGUAUAUAUGUUACAUUUAAUGUUGAAAGUGUUGGCAAUUACAUAUGAUUUGAAUAUGGCUUUACAAAAAAAAGAUCAAGAUAUUGUUAGUGCUAUGAAGCUUGUUGGUUUCGUAAAAAGAUAAUUUCAAGAUAUGAGAGAUUCUAGAUGGGGUUCUUUGGUAGCAGAUGUCUCUUUAUUUUGUGUCAAGUAUGAUAUUGUGACCCCCAAAAUGGAUAUGAAUUAUGUUUGUGAAAAGUCGAAGCGUUAGAAAUCAAGUGUUACAUAUUCUUAUCAUUUGCGUGUAGAGAUUUUCUAUGCUGUUAUUGAUUUGCAACUUUCGGAGCUUAACAGUCGUUUCAGUGAAGUGAAUACUGAUCUAAUUCUUGGUAUGGCUAGUUUGAGUCCAGAAAAUUCUUUUACAAAUUAUGAUAAAGAUAGGAUUAUGAAACUUGCUACACACUAUCCGAAUGAGUUCACUGAUUCUAUGCUUGAGUAUCUUCAUUUUGAGUUUGACAUCUAUAUUGACUAUGUGCGACAGGCGGGCAAUGAAUUUUCUAACUUGAUAAGACUUGGUGAUCUUUCAGAGACGUUGGUUAAAACAAAUUUGCACAUGACUUGGAGACUUGUUUAUUUGCUUGUGAAGUUAAGUUUGAUAUUGCAUGUCGCUACAACAACGGUAAAAAGAGCUUUUUCUUCGAUGAAGUACGUUAAAAAUGACUUGCGAAGCAGAAUUGGUGAUGAAUUUUUGAAUGAUUGUUUAGUUUGUUAUAUAGAGGAUGAAGUAUUUGAAAGUGUACCUAAUGAUGCGAUCAUUGAUCAUUUUCAAGACAUGACAAGUUGUCAAGUACAAUUGUAAUGAUAAUGUUUAUAUUCAUACGUUAUCUUUAAGUA
This is a non-coding RNA of Nicotiana tabacum (common tobacco), 2611 nucleotides long. The record is from RefSeq and is a predicted model, not a curated record. Lineage: Eukaryota; Viridiplantae; Streptophyta; Magnoliopsida; Solanales; Solanaceae.